GCCACAUGUCAAUUUUUUAAGGCCUCUUAUUAAGCGAGGUGGCACACUCUUGUAAAGCCACUUUUAAGGCUUGGCUUUAAUAUAUAUAUAUAUAAAAAACAAAAAGUCAAACCAAUUUAUCACAUAUACAAUUAAACCAUUUUGUCUCCAUGUCAUAAUAAGGCUCAUUAUUGAAAAAAUUAUAGUAAAAUUUUAAAAGGAAAUAAAGUUUUGAAUGAACAACAUGAUUUUGUCUCUACUAAUUUUAAAUUUUAUCAAAAAAAUGGUUUAAUAAUUAAAUUUAUGAGGAGUCAACACACAUACACACACAAAAAGAACAUUUAAAAAUAAAGGGGUCAAUUGACCCCCUAUUUUUUACUCUCCAUACACCAUUGAUUAAGCGGCACGGACUAAUUUAUUAACGAAAUUUAAAUUUGAGAAUCAAAUUGCUACUAAAAAACAAACCAAGGACUAAACUAUUGGUUUUGCUAUACCUUAAGGAUUUAGUUGUAAUUUACCUUUUCUUUGGUAACAUUUGACUAUAAGAGGUAACCAAAAAAAAAAUCUUUGAAAUUCAACUAUGUCCUUCCUUUCUGUACUGAGUAUAUCAAAUUACAAACCUCUUCCACUAUAGACACAAUAAACAACAUUUAAAAGAAUCUGGAACUUGCAAAUUGUCCCCCACGGUAUGCCUUUCACACUACACAACUAAACCUUAAGUUUAUAUAUCACAUAAGCACAAAAUUGCACAAUCAACAGGAAAGUGAUACACAUGCGUUAAGGAACAAGUGAAGAGGAGUUUCCUUGCUUGGCACCUCAACUGCAUAAAAAGGACACUCGUUUGGCCAAAUAUCAUCUCAACUUCCUCCUUAACAAAUCUUCAAUGUCAAAUUUGGAAAUAAUGCAAAAAUUCUAUAGAAUUAAGCUUGAAAAACAACAAGAAGGUAGGGCCAAACUCCACCUUCCCUACUCUAUCUCUCUCCCUCGCCGUUUAUAAAAACAACCUCUUCUCUCUUUAUUUCUUAGGUUCUACGCCUUCCUUUCUCUUACCUUCACCAUAUCCUCCCUUAAGAUUCAGAAGAGUAAAGAAUAAGACUAGAGAAGAAACAAGAUGAGACCCGUUAGAAUCCUUAGCUCCAUCACAAUAGCAAAUUCCUCACUUACCUCCUACCAUCAUGCAACAUCCUCGCCAUGGUACUCUUUGGUGCCAUACCUCUCUUGAGAUUUGUAUCAUGUUAGCAAAACUAUUGGAGGUAUUCCCAAUCAUCAUAUUAAAGUAAGGAACUUUUAGAGUUUCAAUAAAUAAAGAGCAAAGCUCAUUGUCGGUGACUAACAGAUGAACCUUAACAGCUUUGUCUCUUCACCUUUGAGCAUGCUCUUUAAAGCUUUCUCCUUUUAGUGAGAGGUUUUGAAGGUCUCUCCUUGUUAGUGCUACAUCACAAUUGAAAUUUCAAGAUUUUGCAUUGGUAUUCUAAUUGGUGAAAAUGAAUGAAUAAUGAUACCUCCAUGGGAUCUAUCCUCAUCAGGGUUAAGUGAAAAGUCAUGUGUGUUGUAUGAACAAGUAUCACAUACAUGUACAUGACCCUAUCAAUCAUUAUAUGGUUCAACUAUUGGAUGAUACCAUUAUGUUAAUGAUUCAAAUUACCCGUUUACAAACAAUGACAUAACAGCUAAGCUGUCAUCAUAUCCUUCUAUCAAAAUGGAUAAAACCAAACAAAAAUAAUAAAAUGAAAAAAUAAUUUGAACUAGCACAUGCAUGUUUUUGUAGGAAAAUUUUCAAUAUUGCUAGACUUAAAGGAAAUCCGAUAAAACAAUCUAGUAUCCAAUCAAGAAUUUAUUUGACCUGUGCUCAUGCUAGAAGAGUAAGAAUGGAGAAUCAAUAACAAGUUCUGGGAUUAUAAGGGCAAGUAGAUAAAUUAUGGGGGCACAUGGUUGAAUUACAAAGGGUGAUAAAAGGGUUCCAAAAAAGCACCCGCAAGUCCUAAGCAAGAGAAGCCAAAGAAUCUCGCUCAAACUGUUGGAUCAGCUACCUAAAACAAUCUAACACUAUCUUCGACCUAUGUACCCAUACCAGUAACUUCUGAGCAUAUAGGAACCUCCAUUAUCUUCCAAACCCCUCACAGGUCACUUUAAAUGCCUCUACACCUUUUGUUAGCGAUACUAUGGCCCAUGCGUUUCCUCCACAGCAUACCCUUUCACAUAUCAAAGUGUUCCGGUUGACCCUUAUAUAGUGCCCAUCACCCACACCAAUUCUCAAGCCCCUCAGUCCAUUAACUCUCAACACCCAAUAGUGAAUGAAAUGAAGGAAAGACGAAAAGCGAGAAGAUCUCCUCCAUUGAAGAACACUUAACAACCAUUAAGGGUUUAAACAUGUAUGGUUCAGUUGAUGUGACAUCUCUGUUACUGGUUCUGGAUUUAGUCAUUCCAAAGAAAUUCAAGGUACCUGACUUUGAUAAAUAUAAUGAAACCUUAGACCCUCAAAUACAUCUAAAGACAAUAUGCCAGCACUGACUGAGAAUGAUAAGUUGUUGAUUCACUUUUUCCAUGAAAAGCUCAUUGGACCAGCCUUAUUACUAUUUUAAAUAUAUAAAUGGUUUAAAGAUAUUUAUUUAAAUAAAAUAUUAA
Molecule: unclassified non-coding RNA, 2604 nt
Filed under: Hevea brasiliensis (rubber tree)
Lineage: Eukaryota; Viridiplantae; Streptophyta; Magnoliopsida; Malpighiales; Euphorbiaceae
Source: RNAcentral